Molecule: ribosomal RNA, 2997 nt
Filed under: Ziziphus jujuba (common jujube)
Lineage: Eukaryota; Viridiplantae; Streptophyta; Magnoliopsida; Rosales; Rhamnaceae
Description: bacterial LSU rRNA
Rfam family: Bacterial large subunit ribosomal RNA
Source: RNAcentral
GGAAAGGCUUACGGUGGAUACCUAGGCAUCCAGAGACGAGGAAGGGUGUAAUAAACGACAAAAUGCUUCUGGGAAUUGAAAAUAAGCGUAGAUAAAGAGAUUCCCAAAUAGGUUAACCUUUUGAACUGCUGCUGAAUCCAUGAGCAGGCAAGAGACAACCUGGCGAAUUGAAACAUCUUAGUAGCCAGAGGAAAAGAAAGCAAAAGCGAUUCUCAUAAUAGCGACGAGCGAAAUGGGAGCAGCCUGAACCGUGAAAACAGGGUUGUGGGAGAGCAAUACAAGCGUCAUGCUGCUAGGCGAAGCGAUGGAGUGCUGCACCCUAGAUGGAGAGAGUCCAAUAGCCAAAAGUAUCACUAGCUUAUGCUCUGAUCCGAGUAGCAUGGGACAUGUGGAAUCCCAUGUGAAUCAGCAAGGACCACUUUGCAAGGCUAAAUACUCCCGGGUCACCGAUAGUGAAGUAGUACCGUGAGGGAAGGGUGAAAAGAAACCUCAUUAGGGAGUGAAAUAGAACAUGAAACCGUAAGCUCCCAGGUAGUGAGAGGAGAAAAAGGCUCUAACCGCGUGCCUAUUGAAGAAUCAGCCGGCGACUUAUAGGCAGUGGCUUAGUUAAGGGAACCCACCGGAGCUAUAGCGAGAGUGAGUCUUCAUAGGGCAAUUGUCAUUGCUUAUGGACUCAAACUUGGGUGAUCUAUCCAUGACCAGGAUGUAGCUUGGGUGAAACUAAGUGGAGGUCUGAACCGACUGAUGUUGAAGAAUCAGUGGAUGAGUUGUGGUUAGGGGUGAAAUGCCACUCGAACCCAGAGCUAGCUGGUUCUCCCCGAAAUACGUUGAGGCGCAGUAAUUGACUGGACAUCUAGGGGUAAAGAACCAUUUCGGUGGGGGCUGCAAGAGCGGUACCAAAUCAAGGCAAACUUUGAAUACUAGAUAUGACCUCAAAAUAACAAGGUUCAAGGUCAGCCAGUGAGAUGAUGGGGGAUAAGCUUCAUCGUCGAGAGGAAAAUAUCCCGAAUCACCAGCUAAGGCCCCUAAAUGACCGCUCAGUGAUAAAGGAGGUAGGGGUGCAGAGACAGCCAGGAGGUUUGCCUAGAAGUAGCCACCCCUGAAAGAGUGCGUAAUAGCUCACUGAUCGAGUGCUCUUGUGCCGAAGAUGAACGGGGUUAAGUAAUCUGACGAAGCUACGGUAUGUAAAAAUGCAUCGGUAGGGGAAUGUUCCGCCUAGAGGGAAGCACCCGGGCGAGCAGUGGUAGACAAAGCGGAAGCGAGAAUGUUGGCUUGAGCAACACAAACAUUGGUGUGAAUCCAAUGCCCUGAAAGCCUAAGGGUUCCUCUGUAAGGUUCGUCCAUGGAGGGUGAGUCAGGGCCUAAGAUUAGGCCGAAAGGCAUAGUCGAUGGACAACAGGUGAAUAUUCCUAGACUACCCCUUGUUGGUCCAGAUGGAUGGAGGAGGCUAGGUUAGCCGAAAGAUGGUUAUUGGUUCAAGGACACAAGGUGCCCCUACUUUUUCAGGGUAAGAAGGGGUAGAGAAAAUGCCCCAACCCAAUGUUCGAGUACUAGGCGUUACGGCACUGAAGUAACCCAUGCCAUACUCCCAGGAAAAGUUCGAACGGCCUUUAACAAAAGGGUGCCUGUACUCAAAACCAACACAGGUGGGUAGGUAGAGAAUACCUAGAGGCGUGAGAAAACUUUCUCAAAGGAACUCAGCAAAAUAGCCCCGUAACUUUGAGAGAAAGGGUGCCUCCUCACAAAGAGGAUCGCAAUGACCAGGCCCGGGCAACUGUUUACCAAAAACACAGGUCUCAACAAAGUUGUAAGACCAUUUAUGGGGGCUGGAGCUUGCCCAGUGCCGGAAGGUCAAGGAAGUUGGUGACUUGAUGACAGGGGAGUCAGCGACCGAAGCCCCGGUGAACGGCGGCCGAACUAUAAUGGUCCUAAGGUAGCGAAAUUCCUUAUCGGGUCAUUUCCGACCCGUACAAAAGGGGUAACGAUCUGGGCACUGUCUUAGAGAGAGGCUCAAUGAAAUAGACAUGUCUGUGAAGAUGUGGAGUACCUGCACCUGGACAAAAAGACCCUAUGAAGCUUCACUGUUCCCUGGGAUUGGCUUUGGGCCUUUCCUGCACAGCUUAGGUGGAGGGUGAAGAAGGCCUCCUUCUGGGGGGGCCCGAUCCAUCAGUGAGAUACUACUCUAGAAGAGCUAGAAUUCUAACCUUGUGUCAGGACCUACAGGCCAAGGGACAGUCUCAGAUAGAACAGUUUCUAUGGGGCGUAGGCCUCCCAAAAGGUAACGGAGGCGUGCAAAGGUUUCCUCGGGCUAGACGGAGAUUGGCCUUCAAGUGCAAAGGCAGAAGGGAGCUUGACUGCAAGACCCACCCAUCAAGUAUGGAAGAAAGUCGGAGUGAUCCGACGGUGUCGAGUGGAAGGGCCAUCGCUAAAUGGAUAAAAGUUACUCAAGGGAUAAUAGGCUGAUCUUCCCCAAGAGCUCACAUCGAGGGGAAGGUUUGGCACCUUGAUGUCGGCUCUUCUCCACCUAGGGCUGUAGUAUGUUCCAAGGGUUGGGCUGUUCGCCCAUUAAAGCGGUACGUGAGCUGGGUUUAGAAUGUCACGAGACAGUUCGGUCCAUAUCUGGUAUGGGUGUUAGAGCAUUGAGAGGACCUUUCCUUAGUACGAGAGGACCGGGAAGGACGCACCUCUGGUGCACCAGUUAUAGUGCCCACGGUAAACGCUGGGUAGCCAAGUGCGAAGCGGAUAACUGCUGAAAGCAUCUAAGUAGUAAGCCCACCCCAAGAUGAGUGCUUUCCUAUUCCAACUUCCCUAAAGCUUCCGGUAGCACAGCCAAGUCAACGAUGGGUUUUCUACCCCUGUGGGGGUGGAGCGAUAAAAGUUUUGAGAAUUCAAGAGAAGGUCACGGAGAGACGAGCCGUUUAUCAUUACGAUAGAUGUCAAGUGGAAGGGCAGUGAUGUAUGCAGCUAAGGCAUCCUAACAGACCGGUAGACUUGAAC